RNAcentral lists this ribosomal RNA (456 nucleotides) under Staphylococcus aureus. Its description in RNAcentral is "bacterial SSU rRNA". It matches the Rfam family "Bacterial small subunit ribosomal RNA", at positions 196 to 640 of the family's 1533-position model. The record is from RNAcentral. Lineage: Bacteria; Bacillati; Bacillota; Bacilli; Caryophanales; Staphylococcaceae.
AAAAGUGAAAGACGGUCUUGCUGUCACUUAUAGAUGGAUCCGCGCUGCAUUAGCUAGUUGGUAAGGUAACGGCUUACCAAGGCAACGAUGCAUAGCCGACCUGAGAGGGUGAUCGGCCACACUGGAACUGAGACACGGUCCAGACUCCUACGGGAGGCAGCAGUAGGGAAUCUUCCGCAAUGGGCGAAAGCCUGACGGAGCAACGCCGCGUGAGUGAUGAAGGUCUUCGGAUCGUAAAACUCUGUUAUUAGGGAAGAACAUAUGUGUAAGUAACUGUGCACAUCUUGACGGUACCUAAUCAGAAAGCCACGGCUAACUACGUGCCAGCAGCCGCGGUAAUACGUAGGUGGCAAGCGUUAUCCGGAAUUAUUGGGCGUAAAGCGCGCGUAGGCGGUUUUUUAAGUCUGAUGUGAAAGCCCACGGCUCAACCGUGGAGGGUCAUUGGAAACUGGAAAA